This 72-nucleotide transfer RNA is filed under the name Phrynosoma platyrhinos (Desert horned lizard). Its description in RNAcentral is "tRNA-OTHER". The stretch from base 9 to 72 matches the Rfam family "tRNA". Rfam says of the family: Transfer RNA (tRNA) molecules are approximately 80 nucleotides in length. The record is from RNAcentral. Lineage: Eukaryota; Metazoa; Chordata; Lepidosauria; Squamata; Phrynosomatidae.
UCCAGCAUGGUGUAGUGGUUUGAACAUUGGACUGUAGCUCUGGAGACCAGGGUUCAAAUCCCUGCUCAGCUG